RNAcentral lists this ribosomal RNA (425 nucleotides) under uncultured bacterium. Its description in RNAcentral is "bacterial SSU rRNA". It matches the Rfam family "Bacterial small subunit ribosomal RNA", at positions 354 to 796 of the family's 1533-position model. The record is from RNAcentral.
GUGGGGAAUAUUGGACAAUGGGCGCAAGCCUGAUCCAGCAAUGUCGCGUGGGUGAAGAAGGUCUUCGGAUCGUAAAGCCCUUUCGACAGGGACGAUGAUGACGGUACCUGUAGAAGAAGCCCCGGCUAACUUCGUGCCAGCAGCCGCGGUAAUACGAAGGGGGCUAGCGUUACUCGGAAUUACUGGGCGUAAAGGGCGCGUAGGCGGCUCUGUUAGUCAGGCGUGAAAUUCCUGGGCUUAACCUGGGGACUGCGCUUGAUACUGCAGGGCUUGAGGCCGAGAGAGGGUGGUGGAAUUCCCAGUGUAGAGGUGAAAUUCGUAGAUAUUGGGAAGAACACCGGUGGCGAAGGCGACCACCUGGCUCGGUUCUGACGCUGAGGCGCGACAGCGUGGGGAGCAAACAGGAUUAGAUACCCGGGUAGUCC